This 492-nucleotide ribosomal RNA is filed under the name uncultured bacterium. Its description in RNAcentral is "partial 16S ribosomal RNA". It matches the Rfam family "Bacterial small subunit ribosomal RNA", at positions 29 to 507 of the family's 1533-position model. The record is from RNAcentral.
AUUGAACGCUGGCGGCAUGCUUUACACAUGGAAGUCGAACGGUAACAGGCCUUCGGGUGCUGACGAGUGGCGAACGGGUGAGUAAUGCAUCGGAACGUACCCAGAGGUGGGGGAUAACGCAGCGAAAGCUGUGCUAAUACCGCAUGUGAUCUGAGGAUGAAAGCGGGGGACCGAGCAGCAAUGUUUGGCCUCGCGCCUUUGGAGCGGCCGAUGUCGGAUUAGCUAGUUGGUGGGGUAAAGGCCUACCAAGGCGACGAUCCGUAGCUGGUCUGAGAGGACGACCAGCCACACUGGGACUGAGACACGGCCCAGACUCCUACGGGAGGCAGCAGUGGGGAAUUUUGGACAAAGGGCGCAAGCCUGAUCCAGCAAUGCCGCGUGCGGGAAGAAGGCCUUCGGGUUGUAAACCGCUUUUGGCAGGAACGAAACGGUGUCCGCUAAUACCGGGCGCUAAUGACGGUACCUGCAGAAUAAGCACCGGCUAACUACGUG